This 865-nucleotide ribosomal RNA is filed under the name uncultured Neocallimastigales. RNAcentral describes it as "partial large subunit ribosomal RNA". It matches the Rfam family "Eukaryotic large subunit ribosomal RNA", at positions 1 to 644 of the family's 3401-position model. The record is from RNAcentral. Lineage: Eukaryota; Fungi; Neocallimastigomycota; Neocallimastigomycetes; Neocallimastigales.
GCUAUACAUGACUCUGCGCAUAUCAAUAAGCGGAGGAAAAGUCAUACAUUAUACCUACGCUUAGGAUGUUGAAGAUAUGCGCGACACGGCUCUAUACAUGACUCUGCGCAUAUCAAUAAGCGGAGGAAAAGAAACUAACUAGGAUUCCCUUAGUAACGGCGAGUGAAGCGGGAAGAGCUCAAAUUUGAAAUCUUCAAGGUUCUACCUUGACGAAUUGUAGUUUAAAGAAGUGUUUUCUGUUGGAGUUUUGGUAAAAGUUCUUUGGAAUAGGACAUCAUAGAGGGUGAGAAUCCCGUAUUUGACCAUUUCUUCCAGCUGUGUGAUACACUUUCAAAGAGUCGGAUUGUUUGGGAAUGCAGUCCAAAAUGGGUGGUGAAUUUCAUCUAAAGCUAAAUAUUGGCGAGAGACCGAUAGCGAACAAGUACCGUGAGGGAAAGAUGAAAAGAACUUUGAAAAGAGAGUUAAACAGUACGUGAAAUUGUCAAAAGGGAAGCGUUUGACACCAGUGUUGUUUUCUCGAAAAUCAAUUACGAAUGUUUUGUUUUUGAGGAGUUAUGGCUUCAUCGGCUUGCUCCUUUCUUUACGAAACUUUCUUAAUGCACUUUUCGGUUAACAAGUCAACAUCAAUUUCUUUUGCUGUAAAAGGGUAAGAGGAAGGUGGCUUCAGCUUCGGUUGAAGUGUUUAUAGCCUUUUACCUCUGCAGUCGGAGAGAUUGAGGUCUGCAGCGUAGACUCUUCGGGGUUAGAUACAUUUGUGCUAAGUUAUAGCUUUUCAUAGACAACUUGUUGACUAUGUUUAGUCUUGUAGCUUACUCGCUUAUGCUAUUUUACCUACGCUUAGGAUGUUGAAGAUAUGCGCGACACG